GUAAUGGCUUACCAAGGCUUGGACGGGUAGCUGGUCUGAGAGGACGAUCAGCCACACUGGGACUGAGACACGGCCCAGACUCCUACGGGAGGCAGCAGUAAGGAAUAUUGCGCAAUGGGCGAAAGCCUGACGCAGCAACGCCGCGUGCGGGAUGAAGGCCCUCGGGUUGUAAACCGCUUUCAGUAGGGAAGAAAAUGACGGUACCUGCAGAAGAAGCCCCGGCCAACUACGUGCCAGCAGCCGCGGUAACACGUAGGGGGCGAGCGUUGUCCGGAUUUAUUGGGCGUAAAGAGCUCGUAGGCGGUUUCGUAAGUCGGAUGUGAAAACUCCAGGCUCAACUUGGAGACGCCAUUCGAUACUGCGAUGACUUGAGUCCGGUAGGGGAGUGUGGAAUUCCUGGUGUAGCGGUGAAAUGCGCAGAUAUCAGGAGGAACACCGGCGGCGAAGGCGGCACUCUGGGCCGGUACUGACGCUGAGGAGCGAAAGCGUGGGUAGCAAACAGGAUUAGAUACCCUGGUAGUCCACGCCGUAAACGGUGGGCACUAGGUGUGGG
RNAcentral lists this ribosomal RNA (553 nucleotides) under uncultured Actinomycetes bacterium. Its description in RNAcentral is "bacterial SSU rRNA". It matches the Rfam family "Bacterial small subunit ribosomal RNA", at positions 257 to 826 of the family's 1533-position model. The record is from RNAcentral. Lineage: Bacteria; Bacillati; Actinomycetota; Actinomycetes.